UUCCUAUGUGGCAAGAGAGCCUUUGGGCAAGGAAUGCCCUUGCUUCUACUGCAGACAGAAUGCUGAACAAACUGGAUGCAGGAAAGUUGACUGCCAAGCUUUGCAAGGACAAGUAUCCUGCCAAGUCCAGGUGUUUCCUCCAGUAUCCAGGACAGCUCGGAAGCAGCUCUCCACAGGUGCUCCUGUCCAGCCUCGAAGACUGCUUAGCCAGGCCUGCACUUUUCUAGACACAGAGAUCCCACAGAUCCCGGACAGCAGUGAAACAGCCAGCUCUCUCAGGACUUAGCAUCCCAAUUUUUUAGGGCCCCCAGAGAAGCCGUUGCAGGAAGCAGUCAAAAGAACCCAAAUGUUUUUAUUCCUACCCUUGGUUUUUUAAACAAAAAGGGAGGAGUGUUAGCGUAGCGGUGAUUCCACUAACCUGCCCCAGGGACAUAGCCUGCUGCCGCCAGGUGUGUGCCAGAUAAAAGGGUCCACCUGCUAUCCUGCUCUCUUGAUCUCUCUGUUCUCCCUGUUUCCUUGCUCUCUGUCUUGGGCUGUCUUGUCCCCACUCUCUCUCCCUCCCUGCCCUCUCUCAUGGCUCACUCACUCUACUCCUUCCCCAGACUCCCUCCCCCGUUCCCACAAUGAGCCUCCUUUAUUACCGGAUCUGUUGGCCUGUGAUUCCUCAGUGGCUAUGUACACCUUGUAGCAAGCCAACCACGGUGCCCCUACCGCCUGAUUAUACAACAGUACUGUCAAUGGGUCCUCCAGGGAAAGAUGAUUUUAAUAAAAAGAUGCUCAUGGCCUUG
Long non-coding RNA from Psammomys obesus (fat sand rat), 788 nucleotides. RefSeq lists it as uncharacterized. The record is from RefSeq and is a predicted model, not a curated record. NCBI's taxonomy places the organism in Eukaryota, Metazoa, Chordata, Mammalia, Rodentia, Muridae. The transcript is spliced from 2 exons.